This 248-nucleotide ribosomal RNA is filed under the name Ferrimonas sediminicola. Its description in RNAcentral is "Bacterial large subunit ribosomal RNA". It matches the Rfam family "Bacterial large subunit ribosomal RNA", at positions 189 to 484 of the family's 2925-position model. The record is from Rfam by way of RNAcentral. Lineage: Bacteria; Pseudomonadati; Pseudomonadota; Gammaproteobacteria; Alteromonadales; Ferrimonadaceae.
GGAACUGAAACAUCUAAGUACCCUGAGGAAAAGAAAUCAAUUGAGAUUCCCUAAGUAGCGGCGAGCGAACGGGGAUUAGCCCUUAAGCACAGAGGGUGUUAGUGGAAGCUUCUGGAAAGUGGCGCGAUACAGGGUGAUAGCCCCGUACACGAAAACUAACUUUGUGUGAAAUCGAGUAGGACGGGACACGUGAUAUCUUGUCUGAACAUGGGGGGACCAUCCUCCAAGGCUAAAUACUCCUGACUGAC